UGGGGAAUAUUGGACAAUGGGGGAAACCCUGAUCCAGCAAUGCCGCGUGAGUGAAGAAGGCCUUAGGGUUGUAAAGCUCUUUCGCCCGCGAAGAUAAUGACGGUAGCGGGAGAAGAAGCCCCGGCUAACUCCGUGCCAGCAGCCGCGGUAAUACGGAGGGGGCUAGCGUUGUUCGGAAUUACUGGGCGUAAAGCGUACGUAGGCGGAUGCGCAAGUUGGGGGUGAAAUCCCGGGGCUUAACCUCGGAAUUGCCCUCAAAACUGCACGUCUUGAGACCGAGAGAGGUAAGGGGAAUUCCUAGGUGAGAGGUGAAAUUCGUAGAUAUUAGGAAGAACACCAGUGGCGAAGGCGCCUUACUGGCUCGGUACUGACGCUGAGGUACGAAAGCGUGGGGAGCAAACA
RNAcentral lists this ribosomal RNA (402 nucleotides) under uncultured bacterium. Its description in RNAcentral is "bacterial SSU rRNA". It matches the Rfam family "Bacterial small subunit ribosomal RNA", at positions 355 to 774 of the family's 1533-position model. The record is from RNAcentral.